This 133-nucleotide ribosomal RNA is filed under the name uncultured bacterium. RNAcentral describes it as "partial 16S ribosomal RNA". It matches the Rfam family "Bacterial small subunit ribosomal RNA", at positions 355 to 480 of the family's 1533-position model. The record is from RNAcentral.
UGGGGAAUAUUGGACAAUGGGGGCAACCCUGAUCCAGCGAUGCCGCGUGUGUGGAGAAGGCCUGCGGGUUGUAAAGCACUUUCAGUAGAGAAGAAAAGCCUACGGUUAAUACCCGUGGGUCUUGACGUUACCU